GCCCGCAUAGCUCAGCCGGUAGAGCAUCAGACUUUUAAUCUGAGGGUCCAGGGUUCAAGUCCCUGUUCGGGCGCCA
Molecule: transfer RNA, 76 nt
Filed under: Oryctolagus cuniculus (rabbit)
Lineage: Eukaryota; Metazoa; Chordata; Mammalia; Lagomorpha; Leporidae
Description: tRNA (Lys3) from Oryctolagus cuniculus (PDB 6SGC, chain 23)
Rfam family: tRNA
About the family: Transfer RNA (tRNA) molecules are approximately 80 nucleotides in length. Their secondary structure includes four short double-helical elements and three loops (D, anti-codon, and T loops).
Source: RNAcentral